This 69-nucleotide transfer RNA is filed under the name Illeis koebelei. Its description in RNAcentral is "tRNA-Ile". Lineage: Eukaryota; Metazoa; Arthropoda; Insecta; Coleoptera; Coccinellidae. The record is from RNAcentral.
AUUAGAGUGCCUGAAAGUUAAAAAGGGCCAUCUUGAUAUGAUGGAUAAUGUGCCCCCCCACCUCUAAUU